Ruminococcus sp. CAG:17 is the source of this 76-nucleotide non-coding RNA. The record is from Rfam. NCBI's taxonomy places the organism in Bacteria, Bacillati, Bacillota, Clostridia, Eubacteriales, Oscillospiraceae.
AGAAUAUAUGGGCAAAGCAGUUGAAAAGCUGUGACGCAAAGCUAAAGGGCCUUUAAAAUGGCAGCCAGCUGCAGAG